This is a non-coding RNA of Nematostella vectensis (starlet sea anemone), 86 nucleotides long. The record is from Rfam. NCBI's taxonomy places the organism in Eukaryota, Metazoa, Cnidaria, Anthozoa, Actiniaria, Edwardsiidae.
GCCUCGUUAGCGCAGUAGGCAGCGCGUCAGUCUCAUAAUCAAAUCUAGAAAUCUGAAGGUCGUGAGUUCGAUCUUCACACGGGGCA